Non-coding RNA from Vibrio fluvialis I21563, 53 nucleotides. NCBI's taxonomy places the organism in Bacteria, Pseudomonadati, Pseudomonadota, Gammaproteobacteria, Vibrionales, Vibrionaceae. The record is from Rfam.
UUCGUGAGUAGAAGCGGUUAGGUGCCGGGCGGCAUCGGGACAUUGCUCAUAGU